RNAcentral lists this ribosomal RNA (836 nucleotides) under uncultured Planctomycetota bacterium. RNAcentral describes it as "bacterial SSU rRNA". It matches the Rfam family "Bacterial small subunit ribosomal RNA", at positions 8 to 866 of the family's 1533-position model. Lineage: Bacteria; Pseudomonadati; Planctomycetota. The record is from RNAcentral.
AGAGUUUGAUCCUGGCUCAGGACGAACGCUGGCGGCGUGGAUUAGGCAUGCAAGUCGAGCGACGAACCUUCGGGUUACGGAGCGGCGAACGGGUGAGUAACACGUGAGAAACCUACCCCUUCAUUCCGGAUAAUUGGAAGAAAUUCCUUGUAAUACGGGGGAGGAUGCAACUGUGGCAUCACAGAUGUAUCGAACAAGCAAUUGGUGCAGGGACGGUCUCGCGGCUUAUCAGGUAGUUGGUGGGGUAACGGCCUACCAAGCCUACGACGAGUAGCUGGUCUGAGAGGAUGGUCAGCCACAUUGGAACUGAGACACUGUCCAGACUCCUACGGGAGGCUGCAGUCGAGAAUCUUGGGCAAUGCACGAAAGUGUGACCCAGCGACGCCGCGUGAAGGAUGAAGGCCCUCUGGGUUGUAAACUUCUUUUACGGGAGAAGAAACAAUGACGGUAUCCCGUGAAUAAGCCACGGCUAACUACGUGCCAGCAGCCGCGGUAAUACGUAGGUGGCAAGCGUUGUCCGGAUUUACUGGGCGUAAAGCGAGCGCAGGCGGAUGGUUAAGUAGGAAGUGAAAGGUUGGAGCUCAACUCCAACAUUGCUUCCUAUACUGGCUAUCUUGAGUCCCGGAGGGGAAGGCGGAACGAUACGUGUAGCGGUGAAAUGCGUUGAUAUGUAUCGGAACACCAAUGGCGAAGGCAGCUUUCUGGACGGGAACUGACGCUCAGGCUCGAAAGCCAAGGUAGCGAACAGGAUUAGAUACCCUGGUAGUCUUGGCCCUAAACUAUGAUCACUAGGUGUCGGGGGGUUUCCCUCGGUGCCGCAGCUAACGCAUUAAGUG